Small RNA from Streptomyces pluripotens, 293 nucleotides. It matches the Rfam family "5' ureB small RNA". The record is from Rfam. NCBI's taxonomy places the organism in Bacteria, Bacillati, Actinomycetota, Actinomycetes, Kitasatosporales, Streptomycetaceae.
CAUCAGCGAUCUGGGGACAGAUGAAGUGGACGUGUGCGUCGAUGGCGCCGGCCGUGAGAAUACGCCCGUUCCCCGCGAUGAUCUCGGUCUCGGGGCCGAUGACCAGGCCAGGGUGGACGCCGUCCAUGGUGUCGGGGUUACCGGCUUUGCCGACGGCGGUGAUCCGGCCGUCACGGAUGCCGACGUCGGCCUUGACGACACCCCAGUGGUCGACGACGACGGCACCGGUGAUCACGGUGUCCGGGGUUCCCUCCGCCCGGGUGGCCCGGGACUGACCCAUGGACUCACGAAUG